GGCGAACGGGUGAGUAACACGUGGGUGAUCUGCCCUGCACUUCGGGAUAAGCCUGGGAAACUGGGUCUAAUACCGGAUAGGACGAUGGUUUGGAUGCCAUUGUGGAAAGUUUUUCGGUGUGGGAUGGGCUCGCGGCCUAUCAGCUUGUUGGUGGGGUAAUGGCCUACCAAGGCGUCGACAGGUAGCCGGCCUGAGAGGGUGUACGGCCACAUUGGGACUGAGAUACGGCCCAG
Molecule: ribosomal RNA, 233 nt
Filed under: uncultured Actinomycetales bacterium
Lineage: Bacteria; Bacillati; Actinomycetota; Actinomycetes; Actinomycetales
Description: partial 16S ribosomal RNA
Rfam family: Bacterial small subunit ribosomal RNA
Source: RNAcentral